AGAGUUUGAUCCUGGCUCAGGGUGAACGCUGGCGGCGUGCUUGACACAUGCAAGUCGAACGGUAUGUGGCAACACAUAGAGUGGCGAACGGGUGAGUAACACGUGGGAACGUACCCUACGCAGGGGGAUAACUGACCGAAAGGACAGCUAAUACCGCAUAAGACCGAAAGGUGAAAGGUGCAAAUGCAUCGGCGAAGGAGCGGCCCGCGGACCAUCAGCUAGUUGGUGGGGUAAGAGCCUACCAAGGCGACGACGGUUAGCCGGCGUGAGAGCGUGGCCGGCCACAAGGACACUGAGAUACGGGUCCUACUCCUACGGGAGGCAGCAGUGCGGAAUUUUAGAUAAUGGAGGCAACUCUGAUCUAGCGACGCCGCGUGCAGGAAGAAGGUCUUCGGAUUGUAAACUGCUGUGGUAAGGGAAAAAUGUCAUGUAGAGUGGAAAGCUACAUGGAGGGAUGGUACCUUACUAGAAAGCCCCGGCUAACUACGUGCCAGCAGCCGCGGUAAUACGUAGGGGGCGAGCGUUACCCGGAAUCACUGGGCGUAAAGGGAGCGUAGGUGGCCUGACAUGUCAACUGUGAAAACCCGGAGCUCAACUCCGGACUUGCAGUUGAAACUGCCAGGCUUGAGGACGGUAGAGGAAGACGGAACUGCCAGUGUAGGGGUAAAAUCCUUAGAUAUUGGCAGGAACGCCGGUGACGAAGGUGGUUUUCUGGGCCGGUUCUGACACUGAUGCUCGAAAGCCAGGGGAGCGAACGGGAUUAGAUACCCCGGUAGUCCUGGCCCUAAACGAUGUUCACUAGGUGUGGGGAGCGGAAAGCUUUCCGUGCUAAAGCUAACGCGAUAAGUGAACCGCCUGGGGAGUACGCCCGCAAGGGUGAAACUCAAAGGAAUUGACGGGGGCCCGCACAAGCGGUGGAGCGUGUGGUUUAAUUCGAUGCUAAGUCAAAGGCUUACCAAGGUUUGACAUGCUGAUAGUAGUGAAUUGAAAGAGGAACGACCACACUUUGUGUGGAGUCAGCACAGGUGGUGCACGGCCGUCGUCAGCUCGUGCCGUGAGGUGUUGGGUUAAGUCCCGCAA
RNAcentral lists this ribosomal RNA (1080 nucleotides) under uncultured bacterium. Its description in RNAcentral is "bacterial SSU rRNA". It matches the Rfam family "Bacterial small subunit ribosomal RNA", at positions 8 to 1092 of the family's 1533-position model. The record is from RNAcentral.